This 467-nucleotide ribosomal RNA is filed under the name uncultured bacterium. RNAcentral describes it as "partial 16S ribosomal RNA". It matches the Rfam family "Bacterial small subunit ribosomal RNA", at positions 28 to 507 of the family's 1533-position model. The record is from RNAcentral.
GACGAACGCUGGCGGCGUGCUUAACACAUGCAAGUCGAACGGAAAGGCCUCUUUCGGGGGGUACUCGAGUGGCGAACGGGUGAGUAACACGUGAGUAACCUGCCCUUGACUUUGGGAUAACUUCAGGAAACUGGGGCUAAUACCGGAUAGGAGCUCCUGCUGCAUGGUGGGGGUUGGAAAGUUUCGGCGGUUGGGGAUGGACUCGCGUCUUAUCAGCUUGUUGGUGGGGUAGUGGCUUACCAAGGCUUUGACGGGUAGCCGGCCUGAGAGGGUGACCGGCCACAUUGGGACUGAGAUACGGCCCAGACUCCUACGGGAGGCAGCAGUGGGGAAUAUUGCACAAUGGGUGGAAGCCUGAUGCAGCAACGCCGUGUGCGGGAUGACGGCCUUCGGGUUGUAAACCGCUUUCGCUCAUGACGAAGCUUUGUGUGACGGUAGUGGGUAAAGAAGCACCGGCUAACUACGUG